This is a long non-coding RNA of Mytilus californianus (California mussel), 2862 nucleotides long. RefSeq lists it as uncharacterized. The record is from RefSeq and is a predicted model, not a curated record. The transcript is spliced from 2 exons. Lineage: Eukaryota; Metazoa; Mollusca; Bivalvia; Mytilida; Mytilidae.
GGAUUACCAAGCAGGAUGACCAUAAUCCAAAAAAUGAACCAAAAAUAGAAGCUCAGGACCAAACAUCUGUCGAAACCAACCUUCCUGAUUCUGUCAAUUUGCGUCAACAGAUUAAUAUCCAAAAGUCAAAGAAUGAAUAUCUGAACAUUAAUAGCUGUAUCAAAACAGACAAUACAUUAGUGUUUACCGACUACAGGAAUGAGCGACUUAUUAUUUGUAAUUCAGACGGUACUGAUAUCCAUCACAAUCCUCUGUCCUAUAAACCAAUAUAUAUGACAGUGGUAAAUAUUAAUACUGUAGCAGUAUCCUGUAUAGAUGACAAUAUCAUACUGAUAAUAAAUAUAUCUACAGGUUCUGUCACCAGUACAAUCAACACCAGUCGUUACUGCUACGGAAUAUCAUAUAAUGAUAAUAACCUGUACGUUGUUAUUGAUAGGAGUAUAAUACAUGUGAUGGACCUGACAGGUAAAGUAAUACGUACUAUACCUUUACCUUCAGACCCUAUCUACGACAUUACAGUAGACAGAGACAGGUUGGUUUGUAUAGACCAUACAUCAUUAUACUGCUGCUCGUUAGAUGGAAAACUAAUUUGGAAGUUUAAAAAGGAUGAAUUUCAAGAUUUACGUUGGGUGACAACAGAUGAUGAGGGGAAUGUUUUUGUGACUAGUUAUCUCACCAACUCUGUACUAGUUAUAUCUGACGAUGGUAAACAUCAUAGAGAACUUCUUACUAAAUCAGAUGGAUUGAACAAGUCGUGGGGAAUUUAUUUUGACAAACAAGAAAAUAUUCUGCUUGUUUUUAAUCAUUAUGACGGAAAGGUUUUUCUUUUUGACGUGAAAAGGAAACCAACAUAAAUAAACAUGAAUAAUUCUUUCAGACAAUGAGUUUAUUCGGACUCGGGUCUGUUUUUGCAUUUUGUCAUUCAAAAUAACUUUUCUUUAUUUUCUAUACUAUCAAUUACUGAUUGUCAUGAUCUGUACAGUUGUAUUCUGUAUUCAAAGUAAGGACAAUAUUAACAAUUUUAUUAUGUUCAUGUUUUUUGUGAUUAACUCUUUUUAUUUAAAUGUGUGACAACACAUCAACUUUAAAUUGAAAUUUAGAGAAAUGUUACAAAGACAUGUUGUGACAACACAUCAACUUUAUAUUGAAAUUUGGAGAAAUGUUACAAAGACAUGUUGUGACAACACAUCAACUUUAUAUUGAAAUUUAGAGAAAUGUUACAAAGACAUGUUGUGACAACACAUCAACUUUAUAUUGAAAUUUAGAGAAAUGUUACAAAGACAUGUUGUGACAACACAUCAACUUUAUAUUGAAAUUUAGAGAAAUGUUACAAAGACAUGUUGUUCUUUGAUUCACGUCAAUUUAGGGUUUGAUAGUUGGAGAAAAAAAUUAUAAUGCAAGUUAUAUAUCAUCACAUCUUUCAAAACCGCAUAUAAAUUGUUUAAGAGGAAAUUCGUAGUUAUUUUUGUUGUUGGAAAUACAGACAUUCUCUUUACGGAUGUGUAGGUUGUAAAUAUAAUCUUUACAAAUUUAAAAUUGUAUUUUUUCGUUGGGAUGCUGUCUUUUUCCUUCAUUUGCCAAUCCAUCUGCUUUUUUUAACCCGGUAGUCUUACAUGUACAUUUUAAAUACAAUUAAUUCAGAUAUAUACAUCGUUUAUUUGUUCUCAUCCUGAACAUGUAUAAUAUAUUUGCCACUGUACGAUACACAACCAACAGAUAAACCAAUUAAUUAUUUUAUUCAUACCAAACUAUAUCACAUUUUUUAAGUUUAUCAAUGUGUUUAUUUCUUAAUUUGAUGACAGUUUUUUUUUGGUUUAAAUUGAUGUUAAUCGAGUACAAAUAACAUAUGGUCUAACACCAUACAGACUGAUAUGACUGUGUUCCAAUAACUGUGUAUCCUACAUCAAGUUAAAUUUCCAUUGAAAACAAAAUUACGGAAAGAUUAUGAUUAAUUUUGAAAAUGUAACUUGGAUCAUCUAGGCUGUUGUAUUUGAAUAAUGUGGUUCGAAUAUUAUGUUUUCUGCAUUUUUAAAACAUGUGAACAUUCAAUUGUUCUAUAUAAUUCAAUAUGGAAAAUCAAAAAAAAAUUCCGAGUAAUAAACAAUGUCAUAAAUGUACAUGCUCUUUAUCUUUUAUAUAUAAUUCACACUUUUAUGAGAAGGAUGUUAUCCAGAAAAAUGUUAUCAGGCGUUUUCAUCUAGAUAAAAAAAUCUUACUUAAUCAAAUGUAUUGAAUUCGCCGUUUGGAAUUAAUUUUAUCAUGCAAGAAAAUAUUCUGCUUGUUUGUAAUAGAGAUAACGGAAAUCUUUUUUUUUUUACGUGAUAAAGAAACUUGCAUAAAUGAACUUAAAUUAUUUCAUUCGAAUUCGGAUGUGUUUUUGCAUUGAGUCAUUCUAAAUGGAUUUUAUUUGUUUGUGUGCUAUCUACCAAAUACAAAUUCAAUUUAACCAAUUAUGAUUCAUUUUACAAAAUUACUAUCUUGCUUUCUUAUAAGUUAUUCCGUAUUCCGAUUUUAUUUAAGUAUAUUUUUAUGUGUAUGCGUUAUAUUAUCACCGCUUAAAUUGUAUGUACGACAACAAAACAAUUAUGUUUAUGAAAUGGUAGAGAAAUUUUGCUUAGACCCAAAAAUUGUUGUUCUUUCUUUACUUCUAUUUGACGGUUAGGUUGUGAUGGUUGGUGAAAACUCACAAUAUAUUUCAGAGCAGCUUUUGGAAACCGACAAAAGUAGUUUCAUGUACAUACUAUUAACUUGACUCGUUUAGAACUUUUUUAUGUGUUGUAUGCUUCUUGUGAACAUACAAUGUUCGCAUUUUAUCCCGUCGGGGUUUGAUUUUUGCAAUAAAGAUUAUUAUUUAAAUUUUAA